This 2067-nucleotide long non-coding RNA is filed under the name Olea europaea (common olive). Its description in RNAcentral is "long non-coding RNA (OEUR_LNC001371)". Lineage: Eukaryota; Viridiplantae; Streptophyta; Magnoliopsida; Lamiales; Oleaceae. The record is from RNAcentral.
UCCCGUUUGGCCCCCUUAAAUUAUAAUUCAUUUUUAGCCACACAUUAUUCAAAAAAAUACUAUUCCAAAAAUUAUAAUCACAAAUAAUGGGGCCAAAUAGGGCUUUAAUCUCAUACGUACCUGAUGUUGAAUUUGAACGAAACAUAUGAGGUUCCAUUGUUAUUGGUGUGAUAUAAGUUGGAUAUGGAUAUUGCAUUUGAGGGAGAAAUUCCGAUAUGGUAUCGAAAGAGUAAAAAGUGGAUUCUUGGCUUGGGAAGAGCUCAUGGCUCAAUGAAAAUAAUCGUUCGUCACUUUGCAAAAGCUUUUGGUAGUGUUUAUCGAGGGUUUUGGGAGCGAAUUGAACAUAGUGUCUCCUGAUCAAAAAGUCACAAAUAUCGUUAAGUAUUCGAGUGAAGUGAAUUAGUACAAUGAAUAAGAAUUUAAAUUAUCUAUAUUUUCAAUUAGUACAAUUGAACUUAUUAUGAAGAAUACCUCCAGAAGGAAGCUUGACCUCCUGUAAAAUCAAACCAAGGUUUCCAAGCAGAAUGUUUUCGCGGUUGUGGAUCGGUUUCGCAAUAGAACAAAGGAGGCUGAUUCAACUGCAAAAAUUUCUCAUUUUAAGCUAAUAUCGACCUAACGAUCGAUGGACGAUAAUUGAACAUUUCAUUCAUUAUAUUAAUGACAGGUCAAAAUAAAGGCAAAAUGAUUUAACCUCAAUUUCCAAAGUUGCUACUUCAUUAUCAGGCAUACUGGCUCGAAUUGCACUAAUAUCAGACCAUUGAAUUUCGAUCUUUUUCUUCAAUGGUCUUUGUAGAAUCUCCCAAACAAUUUUUUUCUUCGCGUAGUAUAUCUUCACAAUCACGUCUCCUUCAUACAUUGCUCUCCACUGUCACAUUACAAUAAUUCUAAAUACUUUUUCUAAGAAAAAUUUUGAUUCUUAGAGCAUCAUUUAAGUAUUUCAUUUCAAGAAAAUCCAAAAAGAAAUAAUUAUAAAAAAUUGAAAUACCUCCCACGUUCCUAUUCGAAGCAAAUUUGCAGGGAAAUUGGUAGCCUUCAAAUGCUCAUUAACAAAUCUAUCUAUAAAAUAUUUGACAAACUCGACAAGUGACGACCCCCUAUUGGAAUAUUUUAUACAAUAUUUUAUACAGAUAUCUUUAUCCUAAAUUUUAUUGUUUGAUUGUGCCCAUAUAAGCCACUGAAUCUUUCAAAUUUCAAUUCUAACAAUCAAAUUAUGUAAAAAAAUAAAAAUCAAUAUAAUGGUAACUUUUUCAAAUAAGGACAAUAACUUCCAGAAAUUUACAAAAACGAACAUCAGAAGAAAGAGAAAUUCUUUCCCAUUUGAGGAUUUUCCGCAAAGGGAAGAAGAACAAGUCUAUUUACGAAAGGAAAAGCCCGAAAAUAUUCGGAUUAGAAUUCCAAGUAGAAUAAUCUCCAUUUAUCAAUCCUUCAAAUUCAAAUGGAUCAAUCGAGUUGUUUACUUCUGGUUGCAACACAAGGUUUUCUAUAGAUUCUUGAGCUAUCCAAUUUAUAGAUUGUGGACGGAAACCAUCUGAUAUGGAAUUUUCAAUGCCAUUCUGAAUCACUUGAUCAUUAGGAUUUACAUCUAACGGAUUAGAUAUAUUUGCAUCUCCCACAUAAUCCGAGUAAGGAUAGUCGAAAACUAGAUUGGAAGAUUGUGUUACCAAAUUAAUAGAUGAUGCAUCUUGAAUAUUUUCUGCUUGUCCCCAAACAGUCUGGUUUUGAGUCACAAUCCCUACAGAAAUCCAUAACUGUUACAAAAUAGUAGAGAUUUUAAAAGUUGCAAUUGAGACUUUCAACAUUUUUUUCUGCAUAAUUAGCUCCCGUUUGGCCCCCUUAAAUUAUAAUUCAUUUUUAGCCACACAUUAUUCAAAAAAAUACUAUUCCAAAAAUUAUAAUCACAAAUAAUGGGGCCAAAUAGGGCUUUAAUCUCAUACGUACCUGAUGUUGAAUUUGAACGAAACAUAUGAGGUUCCAUUGUUAUUGGUGUGAUAUAAGUUGGAUAUGGAUAUUGCAUUUGAGGGAGAAAUUCCGAUAUGGUAUCGAAAGAGUAAAAAGUGGAUUCUUGGC